This 360-nucleotide ribosomal RNA is filed under the name Lactobacillus sp. Its description in RNAcentral is "bacterial SSU rRNA". It matches the Rfam family "Bacterial small subunit ribosomal RNA", at positions 371 to 723 of the family's 1533-position model. The record is from RNAcentral. Lineage: Bacteria; Bacillati; Bacillota; Bacilli; Lactobacillales; Lactobacillaceae.
AUGGACGAAAGUCUGAUGGAGCAACGCCGCGUGAGUGAAGAAGGGUUUCGGCUCGUAAAACUCUGUUGUUAAAGAAGAACAUAUCUGAGAGUAACUGUUCAGGUAUUGACGGUAUUUAACCAGAAAGCCACGGCUAACUACGUGCCAGCAGCCGCGGUAAUACGUAGGUGGCAAGCGUUGUCCGGAUUUAUUGGGCGUAAAGCGAGCGCAGGCGGUUUUUUAAGUCUGAUGUGAAAGCCUUCGGCUCAACCGAAGAAGUGCAUCGGAAACUGGGAAACUUGAGUGCAGAAGAGGACAGUGGAACUCCAUGUGUAGCGGUGAAAUGCGUAGAUAUAUGGAAGAACACCAGUGGCGAAGGCG